UGAAAAGUCAUGAAAUAGAGUGGAAGUUGUUCAAAUUUAUCUGCCAAGUGCUCAUAGUGCUCGAGAUUCUUCUCCAGUGGUAUUCUGUGACAUACUCGUCUUCAUGGUACUGAAGAAAGUUGCAAAAUACAAGGAUAAAACUUUAAACUGUUCAAAGAAACCUGCUCCGUGUGGCUCAACUCAGCAUAUACAUCCUGUCGAAGAUAGCUAAAUGUAGUGAUCGCCUUGUGAGUGAUGGGUUC
Molecule: long non-coding RNA, 242 nt
Filed under: Limulus polyphemus (Atlantic horseshoe crab)
Lineage: Eukaryota; Metazoa; Arthropoda; Merostomata; Xiphosura; Limulidae
Description: uncharacterized LOC111088598, transcript variant X1
Source: RNAcentral